AAUGAACGCUGGCGGUGUACCUUAGGCAUGCAAGUCGAACGGAAAGGCCCCGACUUUGUCGGGGUACUCGAGUGGCAGACGGGUGAGUAACACGUGAGAAUCUACCUUCUAGUGGGGAAUAGCCCUCCGAAAGGAGGGGUAAUACCGCAUGUGUUCCGAUUUUAUCGGAAUAAAGCCUUCGGGCGCUAGAAGAGGGGCUCGCGCGCUAUCAGCUUGUUGGUAGGGUAAUGGCCUACCAAGGCAAUGACGGCUAGCCGAUGUGAGAGCAUGAUCGGCCACAAGGCUACUGAGACACGGAGCCUACACCUACGGGUGGCAGCAACCGGGAAUAUUGCGCAAUGGGCGAAAGCCUGACGCAGCGACACCGCGUGUGGGAUGACGCUCUUCGGAGUGUAAACCACUGUGGCGAGGGAUGAAUUUUGACAGUACCUCGCUAGAAAGCACCAGCUAACUACGUGCCAGAAGCUUCGGUAAUACGUAGGGUGCAAGCGUUAUUCGGAUUUACUGGGCGUAAAGGGUCCGUAGGCGGUUUGUUAAGUUACUUGUCUAAGCCCGAGGCUUAACUUCGGAAGGGCAAGUAAAACUGACAGACUAGAGUUUAUUCGAGGAAACUGGAAUUCCUGGUGGAGGAGUGAAAUCCGUAGAUAUCAGGAGGAACACCAAUCGCGAAGGCAGGUUUCUAGAAUAUAACUGACGCUCAGGGACGAAAGCUUGGGUAGCAAAGCGGAUUAGAGACCCGUGUAGUCCAAGCUGUAAACGUUGUCUGCUAGUUGUUCCCGACUUGUCGGGAGUGACGUAAGCUAACGCGUUAAGCAGACCGCCUGGGGAGUACGACCGCAAGGUUAAAACUCAAAGGAAUUGACGGGGGAGCGCACAACCGGUGGAGCAUGUGGUUUAAUUCGAUACAAAGCGAAAAACCUUACCCAGACUUGACAUGUACCUGCAAUCCUGAUGAAAGUCGGGACUUCUUCGAGAGUGGUACACAGGUGAUGCAUGGCUGUCGUCAGCUCGUGUCGUGAGACGUCCACUUAAGUGUGGUAACGAGCGCAACCCUUGUCCCGUGUUAUAAGUAUCACGGGAGACUGCCCCCGAUUCCUCGGGGGAGGAAGGAGAGGACGACGUCAAGUCAGCAUGUCCCUUACGUCUGGGGCUACACACAUCCUACAAUGGAGCCGACAACGGGUUUAGCGAAAGGGCGACCUUGAGCCAAUCCUUAUAAACGGCCCCUCAGUUCGGAUUGCAGGCUGAAAUUCGCCUGCAUGAAGUCGGAAUCGGUAGUAAUCGCAAAUCAGCAGGUUGCGGUGAAUACGUUCUCGCUCCU
This 1321-nucleotide ribosomal RNA is filed under the name uncultured bacterium. RNAcentral's name for it is "bacterial SSU rRNA". It matches the Rfam family "Bacterial small subunit ribosomal RNA", at positions 28 to 1381 of the family's 1533-position model. The record is from RNAcentral.